Molecule: ribosomal RNA, 253 nt
Filed under: uncultured bacterium
Lineage: Bacteria
Description: partial 16S ribosomal RNA
Rfam family: Bacterial small subunit ribosomal RNA
Source: RNAcentral
UACGAAGGGGGCUAGCGUUGUUCGGAUUUACUGGGCGUAAAGCGCACGUAGGCGGAUCGAUCAGUCAGGGGUGAAAUCCCAGAGCUCAACUCUGGAACUGCCUUUGAUACUGUCGAUCUGGAGUAUGGAAGAGGUGAGUGGAAUUCCGAGUGUAGAGGUGAAAUGCGUAGAUAUCGAGAGGAACACCUGCGGCGAAGGCGGGUUGCUGGGCUGACACUGACGCUGAAGCGCGAAAGCUAGGGGAGCGAACGGG